GUGAAGAACGCAGCAAAAUGCGAUAAGUAAUGUGAAUUGCAGAAUUCAGUGAAUCAUCGAGUCUUUGAACGCACAUUGCGCCCCCUGGUAUUCCGGGGGGCAUGCCUGUCCGAGCGUCAUUGCUGCCCUCAAGCCCGGCUUGUGUGUUGGGUCUCGUCCCCCUUCCCGGGGGGACGGGCCCGAAAGGCAGCGGCGGCACCGCGUCCGGUCCUCGAGCGUAUGGGGCUUUGUCACCCGCUCUGUAGGCCCGGCCGGCGCUUGCCGAUCAACCAAAACUUUUUUCCAGGUUGACCUCGGAUCAGGUAGGGAUACCCGCUGAACUUAAGCAUAUCAAUAAGCGGAGGA
RNAcentral lists this unclassified non-coding RNA (345 nucleotides) under soil metagenome. RNAcentral describes it as "partial contains 5.8S ribosomal RNA, internal transcribed spacer 2, and large subunit ribosomal RNA". The stretch from base 2 to 119 matches the Rfam family "5.8S ribosomal RNA", at positions 37 to 154 of the family's 154-position model. The record is from RNAcentral.